RNAcentral lists this long non-coding RNA (803 nucleotides) under Mytilus galloprovincialis (Mediterranean mussel). Lineage: Eukaryota; Metazoa; Mollusca; Bivalvia; Mytilida; Mytilidae. The record is from RNAcentral.
CCCCUUGUUCUAUUUUUAGCCGUAGCAGCCAUCUUGGUUGGUUAGCCCGGUCACAAAACACUAUUUUUAAACUAAAUAGCCUAAUAAUGAUUCUGGCUAUAUUUGGUAAAAUUUGGCCCAGUUGUUUCAGUGGAGAAGAUUUUUGUAAAAGUUAACUAAGAUUAAGGAAAAAUGGUUAAAAAUGGACUAUAAAGGGCAAUAACUCCUAAGUGGUCAACUGACAUUGGUUGAAUUGAUUAUUUGUAAUCUUACUUUGCUGAACAUUUUUGCUGUUUACAGUUUAUCUCUAUCCAUAAUAAUAUUCACGAUAAUAUCCAAAAACAGUAAAAUUUCCUUAAAAUUACAAAUUCAGGGGCAGCAACCCAACAACCGGUUGUCCCAUUCAUCUUAAAAUUUCAGGGCAGAUAGAUCUUGACCAAAUAAACAAUUUUACCCCUUGUCAGAUUUGCUCUAAAUGCUUUGGUUUUUGAGUAAUAACCAAAAACUGCAUUUAACCUCCAUGUUCUAUUUUUAGCCAUGGCGGCCAUCUUGGUUGGUUGGCCGGGUCAAAAAACACAAUUUUUAAACUAGAUACAUCAAUGAUGAUUGUGGCCAAGUUUGGAUUAAUUUGGCCUGGUAGUUUCAGAGGAGAAGAUUUUUGUAAAAGAUCAUGGAGAUUUACAAAAAAUGGUUAAAAAUUGACUAUAAAGGGCAAUUACUCCUAAAGGGGUCAACUGACCAAUUUGGUCAUGUUGACUUAUUUGUAAAUCUUACUUUGCUGAACAUUAUUGCUGUUUACAGUUUAUCUCCAUCUAUAAUAAUAU